This 1101-nucleotide long non-coding RNA is filed under the name Helianthus annuus (common sunflower). Lineage: Eukaryota; Viridiplantae; Streptophyta; Magnoliopsida; Asterales; Asteraceae. The record is from RNAcentral.
AUUUAGUUUGAAUUUUAUCAUCUGAUGUAGAUAUCUAUGGUUACGUGAUUGUGUGAAUUGCAUCGUGAUCGAUUUAUGGAGUUUGUUAGGUGAAUGCAAUACUAUUGAUGCUAAACAUAGUUUUUGGAAGUGGAAGUCCUUUCCAGAAUGUUGAACUUGCUUUCUUUUAUGGUGUUGGGGAAGCAGUUAUGUGUUAAAGAGAAGCAGUUAGAUGUGAGAUGCAAAUGACACACGAAGAAUGGAGCACUACCUAAGAUGACAGUCACAUCGACAAGUGGCUACAACGUUGAUUAAGCAGUUCCAUUUGUUAACCUUCUGGGGUAGCCCAGUUGGCCAGCCUCACCCAGCCUCUUCUUGAGGUCACCGGUUCGAUUCCCGGCAAUGCCCUAAUGGGGUGUUGGGGCUCUUCACCGUGGGUAAUCACCGUCAGGCAGCUAUGGGGCUAAGCUAGCUUGCAGAGUUGCAAUACUCCGGCGGAUGGGAGGUCCGUGCAACUACCCCCCCUCCAUUUGUUGAGUGGGUCUGGAUAGGCCAUAGCCCAGAACAAUCGCGGAAUCGCCUGCUGGAAGAUUUACAUUUACACGUGGCAACAUAUUUGGUAUAGUAAUUCUUCAAGGCGUCAACCUUUUCUUUCUGUAUGGCGUGGCAAUUGCAGGUUAGAUUAAGGGCGGGAUUAGGUGUAAUCAAUGUCGUUCUCAAGGAUAACGUAGCUACUGAGACAUGGCCGAUUUAGACGGGAUGAUAUUUGUAGACACUUUUACAGGGUUGCUUUACCCGUUUCUACUUGCUUUGGUCAACUCAAGUUGGGUGUAUGGAAACAAAGGUUGUACAUGUGCAUUUGUAGCUGUACAUGUUUGACCCAUAUCAUGAAUUAGGUAUAAUGUAAUAUGGUAUCUAUUUAAAUUGUUUAUCAAGUAUUGCUAAAGUUUGAAACACUUGAUGAAAGGAACACUUUUAAUGCACUUAUGCAAUGAAAGAUGUAUAUUGUUAAUUUGAGAUUAAUAAAAAAUCAUUAGCUGUGAAGCAUGAGUAAGUUGGACACAAUUCUGAUCUCUUAUUACCAAAUUUUAGGGGGUCCCCUUGGAUAAGCAUAGCCAACGC